AGAGACAAGUAGGAGCACCCGCUUCUCACCUGAUCGACGCAAAAAGCAGUUGGCAGGUCACUUAUUCCUUUGAUAUUUUAGGAGACGUGUGGGUGCAUUAUGUGUACCGACACUUUUUUUAUUGC
Molecule: small RNA, 125 nt
Filed under: Halobacillus karajensis
Lineage: Bacteria; Bacillati; Bacillota; Bacilli; Caryophanales; Bacillaceae
Description: L20_leader
Rfam family: Ribosomal protein L20 leader
About the family: This family is a putative r-protein leader autoregulatory structure found in B. subtilis and other low-GC Gram-positive bacteria. It is located in the 5' untranslated regions of mRNAs encoding initiation factor 3 followed by ribosomal proteins L35 and L20 (infC-rpmI-rplT). A Rho-independent transcription terminator structure that is probably involved in regulation is included at the 3' end.
Source: RNAcentral